UACGGGAGGCAGCAGUGGGGAAUAUUGCACAAUGGGCGCAAGCCUGAUGCAGCCAUGCCGCGUGUAUGAAGAAGGCCUUCGGGUUGUAAAGUACUUUCAGUCGUGAGGAAGGUGUUAAGGUUAAUAACCUUAGCAAUUGACGUUAGCGACAGAAGAAGCACCGGCUAACUCCGUGCCAGCAGCCGCGGUAAUACGGAGGGUGCGAGCGUUAAUCGGAAUUACUGGGCGUAAAGGGCACGCAGGCGGUUAAUUAAGUUGGAUGUGAAAUCCCCGGGCUUAACCUGGGAAUGGCAUUCAAGACUGGUUAGCUAGAGUCUUGUAGAGGGGGUAGAAUUCCAUGUGUAGCGGCGAAAUGCGUAGAGAUGUGGAGGAAUACCGGUGGCGAAGGCGGCCCCUGGACAAAGACUGACGCUCAUGUGCGAAAGCGUGGGGAGCAAACAGGGAUUAGAUACC
RNAcentral lists this ribosomal RNA (453 nucleotides) under uncultured bacterium. Its description in RNAcentral is "bacterial SSU rRNA". It matches the Rfam family "Bacterial small subunit ribosomal RNA", at positions 340 to 786 of the family's 1533-position model. The record is from RNAcentral.